Molecule: long non-coding RNA, 272 nt
Filed under: Haliotis rubra (blacklip abalone)
Lineage: Eukaryota; Metazoa; Mollusca; Gastropoda; Lepetellida; Haliotidae
Description: uncharacterized LOC124285923
Source: RNAcentral
GAAUAAGCAAGUGAAACCGUGUCAGCCUUUUUCCGUAGAGAGUCAGACGAGUACACUGCUCUUGAAAUACAGCGUGUAAUUCGAGUAUGCCUAAUAUCCAGAAUGGAAACACGGCCUUACCUGCAACUGCCUCUGUUAUGUCUGAUAGUUCUGGUCAGUGGAAGGACAGGCUCACCAAUCCCUAAGCCCCCGUGCCUACGUUCUCGAUGCAAAGGGGACAUUUGUGUCAAGGAUAUAUGCUCCCUGGGGUGCAAAGAUGGGUAUUAUGGCCG